CGCGCAGGCGGCAGUGCAAGUAAGGUGUGAAAUCUCCCUGCUCAACGGGGAGGGUGCACUUUAGACUGCACAGCUCGAGGUCGGUAGAGGGGGGUGGAAUUGCUGGUGUAGCGGUGAAAUGCGUAGAGAUCAGCAGGAACACCCGUGGCGAAGGCGGCCCCCUGGGCCGUACCUGACGCUGAGGCGCGAAGGCUAGGGGAGCGAACGGGAUUAGAUACCCCGGUAGUCCUAGCAGUAAACGAUGGCCACUAGGUGUGGGGGGUGUUGACCCCUUCCGUGCCGAAGCUAACGCAUUAAGUGGCCCGCCUGGGGAGUACGGUCGCAAGACUAAA
RNAcentral lists this ribosomal RNA (332 nucleotides) under uncultured Thermovenabulum sp. RNAcentral's name for it is "bacterial SSU rRNA". It matches the Rfam family "Bacterial small subunit ribosomal RNA", at positions 568 to 898 of the family's 1533-position model. Lineage: Bacteria; Bacillati; Bacillota; Clostridia; Thermosediminibacterales; Thermosediminibacteraceae. The record is from RNAcentral.